This 429-nucleotide ribosomal RNA is filed under the name uncultured Psychrobacter sp. RNAcentral's name for it is "bacterial SSU rRNA". It matches the Rfam family "Bacterial small subunit ribosomal RNA", at positions 355 to 776 of the family's 1533-position model. The record is from RNAcentral. Lineage: Bacteria; Pseudomonadati; Pseudomonadota; Gammaproteobacteria; Moraxellales; Moraxellaceae.
UGGGGAAUAUUGGACAAUGGGGGGAACCCUGAUCCAGCCAUGCCGCGUGUGUGAAGAAGGCCUUUUGGUUGUAAAGCACUUUAAGCAGUGAAGAAGACCUAACGGUUAAUACCCGUUAGCGAUGACAUUAGCUGCAGAAUAAGCACCGGCUAACUCUGUGCCAGCAGCCGCGGUAAUACAGAGGGUGCAAGCGUUAAUCGGAAUUACUGGGCGUAAAGCGAGCGUAGGUGGCUUGAUAAGUCAGAUGUGAAAUCCCCGGGCUUAACCUGGGAACUGCAUCUGAUACUGUUAAGCUAGAGUAGGUGAGAGGGAAGUAGAAUUCCAGGUGUAGCGGUGAAAUGCGUAGAGAUCUGGAGGAAUACCGAUGGCGAAGGCAGCUUCCUGGCAUCAUACUGACACUGAGGCUCGAAAGCGUGGGUAGCAAACAGG